UGGGCGUAAGCGCGCGCAGGCGGUUUCUUAAGUCUGAUGUGAAAGCCCCCGGCUCAACCGGGGAGGGUCAUUGGAAACUGGGGAACUUGAGUGCAGAAGAGGAGAGUGGAAUUCCACGUGUAGCGGUGAAAUGCGCAGAGAUGUGGAGGAACACCAGUGGCGAAGGCGAUUCUGUGGUCUGUAACUGACGCUGAGGCGCGAAAGCGUGGGGAGCCAACAGGAUUAGAUACCCUGGUAGUCCACGCCGUAAACGAUGAGUGCUAAGUGUUAGAGGGUUUCCGCCCUUUAGUGCUGCAGCUAACGCAUUAAGCACUCCGCCUGGGGAGUACGGUCGCAAGACUGAAACUCAAAGGAAUUGACGGGGGCCCGCACAAGCGGUGGAGCAUGUGGUUUAAUUCGAAGCAACGCGAAGAACCUUACCAGGUCUUGACAUCCUCUGACAACCCUAGAGAUAGGGCUUCCCCUUGGGGGGCACAGUGCCAGGUGGUGCAUGGUGUUCUUCACCUCUUGUCGUGAGAUGUUGGGUUAAAUCCCGCAACGAGCGCAACCCUUGAUCUUAGUUCCCACCAUUCAUUGGCCACUCUAAGGUGACUGCCGGGGCCAAACCGGAGGAAGGUGGGGAGGACAUCAAAUCUUCAUGCCCCUUAUGACAUGGGUUCCACACGUGCUCCAAUGGGCAGAACAAAGGGCAGGGAAGCCGCGAGGCUAAGCCAUCCCCACAAAUCUGUUCUCAGUUCGGAUCGCAUUUUGCAAUUGGAUUCCGGGAAGCGGGAAUCGUUAGUAAUCGAGGAUCACCAUGCCCCGGGAAAUACGUUCCCGGUCUU
RNAcentral lists this ribosomal RNA (824 nucleotides) under Bacillus sp. Mrinalini_4. RNAcentral's name for it is "bacterial SSU rRNA". It matches the Rfam family "Bacterial small subunit ribosomal RNA", at positions 555 to 1381 of the family's 1533-position model. The record is from RNAcentral. Lineage: Bacteria; Bacillati; Bacillota; Bacilli; Caryophanales; Bacillaceae.